Astatotilapia calliptera (eastern happy) is the source of this 1010-nucleotide long non-coding RNA. NCBI's taxonomy places the organism in Eukaryota, Metazoa, Chordata, Actinopteri, Cichliformes, Cichlidae. The record is from Ensembl.
GCAAGUAUUUCCCUGCAGAGCUUUGUUUUAUUUUUAUGACAAUGUGCCUCUCUGAUGAUGAUUAAAAAGGCAAGUGCAGGUAUUCCCACUUGUACUUUUGUUCUGCCGUGAAUGUACCCUUUUAACUAACACUCUUGAAGUGAUAUAUUUGACUUUCUUUCUGUGCUUUAUAGCAAAUAUUAUGGGGUCAUUGCAACGAGUUGGCAAAGAUAUCUAAGCUGUUGCGGCAACAGUUUAGAUUGUGCUUGUUUUUCGCUGGAAACUGGUCAGAUAUUUUAAGGGUCACUCGUGGUCUGGAGGUUAUAUUUGUUCAAAGAAGGGUUUUGAAAUGAUUAACAGCUGAACUGAUUUUCUGUUUGUGCUGGUAGAAAUACAGUCCGUGUUUGCACAUUCUUAUCGUCAAAACAAACUAAAAGCUGGAAGUGGGGUAUUGUGUGUGCGUGCACGGUUUUCACCAAUGUGCAUUUGCAAGAGUGAUUUUUUUGUUCUCAGACUCCUGAGUGAGGGCAGCUGUAAUAUUAGUCACAGGGUGCACGCAUGUGGUUGUUUAUGAGUCCAAGGUUUAAAGGAAUUAGGUGUUUCUAGGUUAACAUUUCAUUGCUAAAGCAUCCUUGGUGGAACACAAAGAUGGUGGCAAUCCUUUGUGAAGAUCUUUGAGCCUGUACGAAUGACUGGUUGCAUUAAGCCUGCAUUAUUAUGGUUUUAAAUAGGGCAUGAGCUCUUUUGGGAAAAAUACUUAAAAGACGAAAGGAAAGUUUAAAGAAAAUGGAACAUUUUCCAGACUGACAGUCGGUGUUGAAAAAGAGGCAAGCAGCACAGUGAAAACCUUCAAAUGAAACAACAAUUAUAGAUGUCAUUAUACUGCCAAAUAAAGCUGCCAAAUAAAACUGCCAGAUAAAAUGGUAAAAAUGGGCAUUCUUACUCACUUUGCCAACAAAUGAUUAGAUGUCUUUUACCCUGCAGAAAAUAUUUGCCUGAAAUAUGUGGUUCCAUUUACAUGAUGUCAUCAU